GCGUAACAAGGUCUCCGUAGGUGAACCUGCGGAGGGAUCAUUACACAAUAUGAAAGCGGGCUGGAAUCCUUUGGGGUUACAGCCUUGCUGAAUUAUUCACCCGUGUCUUUUGCGUACUUCUUGUUUCCUUGGUGGGUUCGCCCACCAUAGGACAAACCAUUAAACCUUUUGUAAUUGCAAUCAGCGUCAGUAAAAAAAUUAAUAAUUACAACUUUUAACAACGGAUCUCUUGGUUCUGGCAUCGAUGAAGAACGCAGCGAAAUGCGAUAAGUAGUGUGAAUUGCAGAAUUCAGUGAAUCAUCGAAUCUUUGAACGCACAUUGCGCCCUUUGGUAUUCCAAAGGGCAUGCCUGUUCGAGCGUCAUUUGUACCCUCAAGCUUUGCUUGGUGUUGGGCGUCUUGUCUCCAGUUCGCUGGAGACUCGCCUUAAAGUAAUUGGCAGCCGGCCUACUGGUUUCGGAGCGCAGCACAAGUCGCGCUCUCUUCCAGCGAAGGUCAGCAUCCACAAAGCCUUUUUUCAACUUUUGACCUCGAUACACGAAAUUACAUCAUCUC
RNAcentral lists this ribosomal RNA (554 nucleotides) under Alternaria alternata. RNAcentral's name for it is "eukaryotic LSU rRNA". The stretch from base 210 to 363 matches the Rfam family "5.8S ribosomal RNA". The record is from RNAcentral. Lineage: Eukaryota; Fungi; Ascomycota; Dothideomycetes; Pleosporales; Pleosporaceae.